RNAcentral lists this ribosomal RNA (406 nucleotides) under uncultured bacterium. RNAcentral's name for it is "partial 16S ribosomal RNA". It matches the Rfam family "Bacterial small subunit ribosomal RNA", at positions 30 to 526 of the family's 1533-position model. The record is from RNAcentral.
AUUGAACGCUGGCGGCAUGCUUUACACAUGCAAGUCGGACGAGUGGCGGACGGGUGAGUAACAUAUCGGAACGUGCCGAGUAAUGGGGGAUAACUACUCGAAAGAUUAGCUAAUACCGCAUAUUAUUCGAGCGGCCGAGAUUGGAUUAGCUGGUUGGUGGGGUAAAGGCCUACCAAGGCGACGAUCAGUAGCGGGUCUGAGAGGAUGACCAGCCACACUGGGACUGAGACACGGCCCAGACUCCUACGGGAGGCAGCAGUGGGGAAUAUUGGACAAUGGGCGCAAGCCUGAUGCAGCCAUGCCGCGUGUAUGAAGAAGGCCUUCGGGUUGUAAAGGACUUUUGGCAGGGAAGCGGUACCUGAAGAAUAAGCACCGGCUAACUACGUGCCAGCAGCCGCGGUAAUAC